GCGCGACGCCCGCCCCAGGCACCAGCUGGGGCGGCGGGCAAAGGUCCCUCGGCCGCGGUCCCGGCCCGGGCCCGGCCGGUUGCGGGCGGCUGCUGCUCCCCGGGGCCGCCGGGAGGGAAGGAGGGAGGGAAGAGGGAGGGAGGAAGAAGCCGCCGGGUCCUAAUGCCGCCGAGCUCCGGCAGGAGCCUCCCGCCCGCUGCUGCCGCGGCCCUGGCGGGCCGGAGGCACCGAAGCGACGCCCUGACCAUCCCCAGGGAGAGUUCUCUGGCCGCGCUGGCUCGAUCAGUGAUCUCGUGGAGAACCCCCUGAACGCGCAAAACCUCCAUGUGCUCGGAGACCGGCAGAGCUGAGCACAGCCACGGGUGAAAACAGCACCCCAGGAGAAAAGCAUUGAAGGAUUCGACAGAAAAAGGAAGAGGUACCGGCAGCCCCUGACAUCGACGCACCUCUGUGCUUGUAAGAAAUCCUGAUUUUGUUCCUCAAAACUCAGCGCCUAAACUUUGCCUUGGAGCUGCUCAUCUUCAUCACACAGUACAGGAACAGAAAAAAACGCUCUGAAACAGGUAGGAAAGUGAGAGAGAAGGACUAAAACUGCACAUGCUGUAGCAGACACAAGCAAGAUUCCAGGAUCUCCCUAGUGAACCAAGAAAGGCUCUUGACAAGCCAAAGAUUCAGAACAGAGAAGACUGCAAGAAGUACAGGCUGCUGAGGCAGCUUUUACACUUGUGCAUGUGGAAUGUACCAGCAUGUCUGCUUUCUGCCUUGCUCUUGCUACUUAGGUUUAUUACAAGCAAAUACAGCUAUAUAAGAGGCAGAGAUACCACCCUCUGCACCCACACUCCAUCCUCUCAAACACAUCAGCCUGGCCAGAGCAGUAAUUUCUGAUGUACUUUCACUUUGCUACCUCCUUCCUCUCCUUGCCUAUACUUGGACAUCACUUGAAGAUUAAACAGUAGGAUUGUUACAUCUUUAUACAUUUUAUACCAUUUUAGUGAGACACUUAAGUGACCUGAGAUGACUUGAUCUGGAAUGCUAGAAUUAGAAACAGGAUUGAAAUGGUUACUUUUAUUACCUUCCAGUCCUUCCUGUGGAAAUUGUGAUCAAUUUUGUUAAUAGUUGUGUAUAGUUUUUAUUAAUGUGCCUACAGUCUUAAAGCCUAAACCUGACAAGGGAUGGGACAGAAAAGCACCUCAUCAGUGAAAAUAGUUAGGUGAGCAAUCACAACCUCCUCCUGAAAAUUAACAGGGACAUAAACAGAAAAAGUCGCACCCAAUGUACAGCCAUGAGUAGUGUUAAGUGAAAAAUUUAUAUUAAAGAGUGGUCUUCCCAUGAAUGUAUCUGUUCACUGUGGCAUAAACUCCUCCACUACAUACCAUGUAUAGUAGAACAAGACCAUUCUUUAAAAGCCAGAAAUACCUGACUUGUGAUAUGUUGUAUCUAUCCUGUCACAGCAAUGUCUUACUCUUAUCAAAACUAUGGCUCUGUCACGUAGAGAACAAAAAUUCUGCAGCCAUGCACAUAUUUUCAAUAUAUGAAUCAAUUCAAGCUUAGAGUUAAAUAUUAUAUGACACAUGAAAAACCCCCAACUGUCGUAAUGAUUCAAAACAAAAUCAGAAAAAUUUUACUUCAUGUACUUUUCAAAACUUUUCCUCUCAUCUCACUGCUGUGAGUGUGCAUCUCUUUCCCUAUUACAGAUACUAAAGAACCUUCUUGCAACAUUCUGGUGUGAAGCUUCUGUGAUUAUCUUUCUGAUUUUGAAGAAGGCAAGGAAGUAAGUCUAUAGUUGAAACUGGGUACAGGAAUCCUGAUCUGUGAAGAAAACCCAGUUUUGUCCAUGUACCAGAGGUGAAACAAUAACAGUUCUGCUGAAAGAGUUAAAAAAAAUACCCUUGCUGCUCUCAAUAUCCGUAUUAUAGACAUUGUAAGCAUUAUUAUGAAUAACACUGAACUUGGUUUCUGUUUCGCUCUUGUCCUACUUUGGGUUCUGUGGAAUGGUGUUCAAUAAAAGUUUGACUUCAUGUACAGCCAGAACCCCUUCUCACCAACAGGAAAGCCUAAUAAGCUUCAGAAUAUAUAUUGUUCAACUACAUUAAAAAUAAAGUCAAAGCCCUCAGUGUUUAUAACUCUGCAGCAUUUAUAAAAAAGCAUUUUUAAAUCGUACCUUGUGGGCACUAUUCAUAGCGUUCAUAUUGUAAAAUAAGACCAGAAAAUUUAAGCAUUAUCUCCAGAAUGAAUUCAGUUUUGUGAAUUCUGUGGUUUGUGUUUUAUUGAAAUGCAUUUCAACUUUUAGAAGUUCACUGAAGCAAAAGCCUCCUUUUCAUUACUGCUGUUCCUGUUUGGAGUAUGUUAACAGUUCAAAAGCUUUUCUUAACUAGUUUCUGAUUUUUAAUUAUCUACUACAUUUAUAAAGCAUAUGUUUGUGUUUUCUUUAAGUAUAAGGGGACUAAACUAAAGGCUUACACUAAAGAAGUGAUGUUCCUUCCAUGUCACUGAAGUUCUUAGCAUCAGGAAGGAGGCACUGAUAAGAAGCUAAGUAUGUGCACAAAAACAUACAGAGCAGGAGCCUUAGUUUCUAGACCCCAAGGAUAUCAUAGUAUUAAAUUUGAAAAAUCAAGUACUUUUAAUUCUGUAGGAUUUUUAGAAAGACAAAUGGUAUUGUUAAGGCUUCUGAGAUCAUAUAUGUGUCUACAAAGAUGCAAGUGAUCCAGUAAUUUAGCAACAAGGUAGACAGGUAUCAUGAAAAGAUUCUAUAUUUGUGCACCACUGAAAAGGGUGAUGAACUGCCAUUCUGAUAUGAAGCAUAUGUUUGUUUGGCUUUUUUCCAAAUUAUCACUUGUUUGGCUGUUGGUUAAAAUACCAAACUCAUAGUGAGUUCUCUUGGUGAGAGAAUCCUCAUCUUUUUUGUGUGAGAGAACACAAAAAAAAAUUCAAGUACCUGUUUAACUAUUCACAAGUAUUCUAUUAAUCUACUUCUAAUACUUCUUAUUGAAUGUACAUUGCAUAGAAUUCCCAUGCAGAACAUGACUGCUGUGAAGUCAUUAAUGUUACAAAAAUAACUGGCUGUCUUGAAAAAAAAUAAAUACGAUGUACUAUAA
This is a long non-coding RNA of Pseudopipra pipra, 3095 nucleotides long. RefSeq lists it as uncharacterized. The record is from RefSeq and is a predicted model, not a curated record. The transcript is spliced from 3 exons. NCBI's taxonomy places the organism in Eukaryota, Metazoa, Chordata, Aves, Passeriformes, Pipridae.